Molecule: long non-coding RNA, 686 nt
Organism: Mauremys mutica (yellowpond turtle)
Lineage: Eukaryota; Metazoa; Chordata; Testudines; Geoemydidae
Exons: 3
Source: RefSeq, a predicted model, not a curated record
AGCAGAAAUGCUGCCAGAGUCCAAGGUGAAGCAAUGGGAGCCUUCUGGGGGAAAAGACUCUCUUGGGAAAAGCCUUGGGUGACAGAGCUCAGAGAACACAACACAGGUGCAGCAGGGAGGAUUAAGAGUUGUCAAAAGUCCUUUUCACAAGAAGGAGCUACUAAUAUUCAGAGAUGUUUUUCCCAGUUCUGGUUCCAGUGAUGUCAUGCAACACAAUACCACCAUUACAUAAUUUGUGGCCUGUCUUGCCUCCCUUAAGUACUCCACCUGAUUUGGAUCAUGAGGGCCACAUCAGUGAAGGUGUCAUCUGAAGAAGAAAAAAGUGCUCCUGAGCAGAACAGUGUGUCACACCUCCAUGAGGAAAAGCGGAAACAGGUUCCUGUGUGCUACCGACACUGACUCCUGUGCUGGGAGAUGCUUCUUCUGAUUUGUCAGUCUUCCUUUCAGUCACCUGUAGAGAGUGGAGGACCCAUUAGUAUGGAUUACCGGAGCUACUCACUGAACAAAAUUAGAUUUUUGUACCCACUGGGGGUUAUGACUGAAGAAAAACAAGAAUUCAAGAUCAAUGCAGACGCUGAAUGUGUUUUGGAAAUGUGUAUUGUUAAUCUCUUUUGUAUAAGGUACAGGGAUAUGAAUUCAAUAUUAUUAAUCAUGUUUAUUAUGGUAACACCUAAGGAUAUUGACGA